Molecule: ribosomal RNA, 432 nt
Filed under: Selenops bursarius
Lineage: Eukaryota; Metazoa; Arthropoda; Arachnida; Araneae; Selenopidae
Description: partial 16S ribosomal RNA
Source: RNAcentral
UUCUAUUACUAUAAUUAAUAGUAAGAUCUGCUCAAUGAUAAUUAAAUAGCCGCCUUGGUUGUGCUAAGGUAGCAUAAUCAUUUGUCAUUUAAAUGAAGACUAGAACAAAAGAUUAAACGUUUCAAUUUAUAUCCUAUUUAAUUCCCUUUAAAUUAUCCUAAAUGUAAAAAGACAUUUAUUUAAAAGAAAGACGACAAGACCCUAUUGAACUUAACUUAAGUUUAACUGGGGUAGUUAAUUAAUUAUUAUUUUAAUUAAUAAAAUUAUACAAAUAAUCCAAUAAUAUUGAAAUAAUCAAGUUACCAUAGGGAUAACAGCGUAAUAAUUUUCUUAAGUUCUUAUAACAACAAUAGUUUACGACCUCGAUGUUGAAUUAAUAACCUAUUUAGAGCAAAAACUAACCAAGGAAGUCUGUUCGACUUUUAAAUAAUU